AUGGGCUGGAGAGAUGGCUUAGA
This 23-nucleotide non-coding RNA is filed under the name Cricetulus griseus (Chinese hamster). The record is from RNAcentral. Lineage: Eukaryota; Metazoa; Chordata; Mammalia; Rodentia; Cricetidae.